RNAcentral lists this ribosomal RNA (95 nucleotides) under Salmo salar (Atlantic salmon). The record is from RNAcentral. Lineage: Eukaryota; Metazoa; Chordata; Actinopteri; Salmoniformes; Salmonidae.
CCUUGUGCCAUACCACCGUGAAUACGCCUGUUCAGGGUCAGGCCUGGUUAGUACUGGGACGGGAGACCGCCUGAGAAUACCAGGUGCCGUAAGCA